GUCUACAGACCUACCACCCUGAACACGCCCAAUCUCUUCUGGUCUCAGAAGCUAAGCAGGGUCGGGCCUGGUUAGUACUUGGAUGGAAGACAGAUCUUCAGAGGAGACUGCUCAGAGACAAGCAGUUUGGAGACA
Molecule: ribosomal RNA, 135 nt
Filed under: Castor canadensis (American beaver)
Lineage: Eukaryota; Metazoa; Chordata; Mammalia; Rodentia; Castoridae
Source: RNAcentral